This 942-nucleotide ribosomal RNA is filed under the name Panaeolus foenisecii. RNAcentral's name for it is "LSU rRNA". It matches the Rfam family "Eukaryotic large subunit ribosomal RNA", at positions 38 to 964 of the family's 3401-position model. Lineage: Eukaryota; Fungi; Basidiomycota; Agaricomycetes; Agaricales. The record is from RNAcentral.
GCAUAUCAAUAAGCGGAGGAAAAGAAACUAACAAGGAUUCCCCUAGUAACUGCGAGUGAAGCGGGAAAAGCUCAAAUUUAAAAUCUGGCAGUCUUUGAUUGUCCGAGUUGUAAUCUAGAGAAGCAUUAUCCGCGCUGGACCGUGUACAAGUCUCCUGGAAUGGAGCGUCAUAGAGGGUGAGAAUCCCGUCUUUGACACGGACUGCCAGGGCUUUGUGAUGUGCUCUCAAAGAGUCGAGUUGUUUGGGAAUGCAGCUCAAAAUGGGUGGUAAAUUCCAUCUAAAGCUAAAUAUUGGCGAGAGACCGAUAGCGAACAAGUACCGUGAGGGAAAGAUGAAAAGAACUUUGGAAAGAGAGUUAAACAGUACGUGAAAUUGCUGAAAGGGAAACGCUUGAAGUCAGUCGCGUUGGCCGGGAAUCAACCUUGCUUUUGCUGGGCGUACUUCCUGGUUAACGGGUCAGCAUCAAUUUUGACCGUUGGAUAAAGUUGUAGGGAAUGUGGCAUCUUCGGAUGUGUUAUAGCCCUGCUUCGCAUACAACGAUUGGGAUUGAGGAACUCAGCACGCCGCAAGGCCGGGUUUUUAACCACGUUCGUGCUUAGGAUGCUGGCAUAAUGGCUUUAAUCGACCCGUCUUGAAACACGGACCAAGGAGUCUAACAUGCCUGCGAGUGUUUGGGUGGAAAACCCGAGCGCGUAAUGAAAGUGAAAGUUGAGAUCCCUGUCGUGGGGAGCAUCGACGCCCGGACUUGAACUUUUGUGACGGAUCCGCGGUAGAGCAUGUAUGUUGGGACCCGAAAGAUGGUGAACUAUGCCUGAAUAGGGUGAAGCCAGAGGAAACUCUGGUGGAGGCUCGUAGCGAUUCUGACGUGCAAAUCGAUCGUCAAAUUUGGGUAUAGGGGGCGAAAGACUAAUCGAACCAUCUAGUAGCUGGGUUCCUGCCGA